This 327-nucleotide ribosomal RNA is filed under the name uncultured bacterium. RNAcentral describes it as "bacterial SSU rRNA". It matches the Rfam family "Bacterial small subunit ribosomal RNA", at positions 29 to 346 of the family's 1533-position model. The record is from RNAcentral.
AACGAACGCUGGCGGCGCGCCUAAUACAUGCAAGCCGAGCGAGAAGACGUAGCAAUACGUUUGUAAAGCGGCGAACGGGUGAGGAAUACAUGGGUAACCUACCCUCGAGUGGGGAAUAACUAGCCGAAAGGUUAGCUAAUACCGCGUACGCUCCUUGGACUUCGGUUCAGGGAGGAAAGCGAUACCGCGGGUAUCGCGCUCUUGGAUGGGCUCAUGUCCUAUCAGCUUGUUGGUGAGGUAACGGCUCACCAAGGCUUCGACGGGUAGCUGGUCUGAGAGGACGAUCAGCCACACUGGCACUGCGACACGGGCCAGACUCCUACGGGA